GACGAACGCUGGCGGCGUGCUUAACACAUGCAAGUCGAACGGAAAGGCCCUGCUUUUGUGGGGUGCUCGAUUGGCGAACGGGUGAGUAACACGUGAGUAACCUGCCCUUGACUUUGGGAUAACUUCAGGAAACUGGGGCUAAUACCGGAUAGGAUCUCCUGCUGCAUGGUGUGGGUUGGAAAGUUUCGGCGGUUGGGGAUGGACUCGCGGCUUAUCAGCUUGUUGGUGGGGUAGUGGCUUACCAAGGCUUUGACGGGUAGCCGGCCUGAGAGGGUGACCGGCCACAUUGGGACUGAGAUACGGCGCAGACUCCUACGGGAGGCAGCAGUGGGGAAUAUUGCACAAUGGGCGGAAGCCUGAUGCAGCAACGCCGCGUGCGGGAUGACGGCCUUCGGGUUGUAAACCGCUUUCGCAUGUGACGAAGCGUGAGUGACGGUAAUGGGUAAAGAAGCAACGGCUAACUACGUG
RNAcentral lists this ribosomal RNA (468 nucleotides) under uncultured bacterium. RNAcentral describes it as "partial 16S ribosomal RNA". It matches the Rfam family "Bacterial small subunit ribosomal RNA", at positions 28 to 507 of the family's 1533-position model. The record is from RNAcentral.